GAUGAACGCUGGCGGCGUGCCUAAUACAUGCAAGUCGAGCGAACAGACGAGGAGCUUGCUCCUCUGACGUUAGCGGCGGACGGGUGAGUAACACGUGGAUAACCUACCUAUAAGACUGGGAUAACUUCGGGAAACCGGAGCUAAUACCGGAUAAUAUAUUGAACCGCAUGGUUCAAUAGUGAAAGACGGUUUUGCUGUCACUUAUAGAUGGAUCCGCGCCGCAUUAGCUAGUUGGUAAGGUAACGGCUUACCAAGGCAACGAUGCGUAGCCGACCUGAGAGGGUGGUAGCCCGCCUGGGAGGUGAGACGGGGACCAGACUCCUGCGGGAGGCACCAGUAGGGAACCUUCCGCAAUGGGCGAAAACCUGACGGAGCAGGGCCGCGUGAGUGAUGAAGGUCUUCGGAUCGUAAAACUCUGUUAUGGGGUAAGAACAACUGUGGAAGUAAAUGUGCCGGUCUUGACGGUACCUAAUCAGAAAGCCACGGCUAACUACGUG
Molecule: ribosomal RNA, 497 nt
Filed under: uncultured bacterium
Lineage: Bacteria
Description: partial 16S ribosomal RNA
Rfam family: Bacterial small subunit ribosomal RNA
Source: RNAcentral